AACGGGUGAGGAACACGUGAAGAAUCUGCCCUCCACUUGGGAUAACUCCGGGAAACCGGGGCUAAUACCGAAUAUUGAAAUAUAAGUGGCAUCACUGAAUUUUGAAAGAAUUUGGUGGAGGAUGACUUCGCGGCCUAUCAGCUUGUUGGUGAGGUAAUGGCUCACCAAGGCAACGACGGGUAGCCGGCCUGAGAGGGCGACCGGCCACACUGGGACUGAGACACGGCCCAGACUCCUACGGGAGGCAGCAGUGGGGAAUAUUGGGCAAUGGACGGAAGUCUGACCCAGCGACGCCGCGUGCGGGAUGAAGGCCUUCGGGUUGUAAACCGCUUUCAGUAGGGAAGAAGCGAAAGUGACGGUACCUACAAAAGAAGCACCGGCUAACUAUGUGCCAGCAGCCGCGGUAAUACAUAGGGUGCAAGCGUUGUCCGGAAUUAUUGGGCGUAAAGAGCUCGUAGGUUGUUCGUUACGUCGGAUGUGAAAAUCUGGGGCUCAACCCCAGACCUGCAUUCGAUACGGGCGAACUAGAGUGUGGUAGGGGAGACUGGAAUUCCUGGUGUAGCGGUGGAAUGCGCAGAUAUCAGGAGGAACACCAAUGGCGAAGGCAGGUCUCUGGGCCAUUACUGACACUGAGGAGCGAAAGUCUGGGGAGCGAACAGGAUUAGAUACCCUGGUAGUCCAGACCGUAAACGGUGGGCGCUAGUUGUGGGAACCUUCCACGGUUUCUGCGACGCAGCUAACGCAUUAAGCGCCCCGCCUGGGGAGUACGAUCGCAAGAUUAAAACUCAAAGGAAUUGACGGGGCCCCGCACAAGCAGCGGAGCAUGCGGCUUAAUUCGACGCAACGCGAAGAACCUUACCAAGGCUUGACAUAUAGGGAAAAGCAAUAGAGAUAUUGUGUCCGCAAGGGCUCUAUACAGGUGGUGCAUGGUUGUCGUCAGCUCGUGUCGUGAGAUGUCGGGUUAAGUCCCGCAACGAGCGCAACCCUCGUCCUGUGUUGCCAGCAUUUAGUUGGGGACUCACGGGAGACUGCCGGGGUUAACUCGGAGGAAGGUGGGGAUGACGUCAAAUCAUCAUGCCCCUUAUGUCUUGGGCUGCACGCAUGCUACAAUGGCCGGUACAAAGGGCUGCGAAACCGUAAGGUUUAGCGAAUCCCAAAAGCCGGUCUCAGUUCGGAUUGAGGUUUAAA
Molecule: ribosomal RNA, 1188 nt
Filed under: uncultured Actinomycetes bacterium
Lineage: Bacteria; Bacillati; Actinomycetota; Actinomycetes
Description: bacterial SSU rRNA
Rfam family: Bacterial small subunit ribosomal RNA
Source: RNAcentral